Molecule: ribosomal RNA, 497 nt
Filed under: uncultured bacterium
Lineage: Bacteria
Description: partial 16S ribosomal RNA
Rfam family: Bacterial small subunit ribosomal RNA
Source: RNAcentral
GAUGAACGCUGGCGGCGUGCCUAAUACAUGCAAGUCGAACGCUGAAGGAAGGAGCUUGCUCUUUCCGGAUGAGUUGCGAACGGGUGAGUAACGCGUAGGUAACCUGCCUGGUAGCGGGGGAUAACUAUUGGAAACGAUAGCUAAUACCGCAUAACAGUAGAUGUUGCAUGAUAUCUACUUAAAAGGUGCAAUUGCACCACUACCAGAUGGACCUGCGUUGUAUUAGCUAGUUGGUGAGGUAACGGCUCACCAAGGCGACGAUACAUAGCCGACCUGAGAGGGGGAUCGGCCACACUGGGACUGAGACACGGCCCAGACUCCUACGGGAGGCAGCAGUAGGGAAUCUUCGGCAAUGGACGGAAGGCUGACCGAGCAACGCCGCGUGAGUGAAGAAGGUUUUCGGAUCGUAAAGCUCUGUUGUAAGAGAAGAACGAGUGUGAGAGUGGAAAGUUCACACUGUGACGGUAUCUUACCAGAAAGGGACGGCUAACUACGUG